CCUACGGGAGGCAGCAGUGGGGAAUAUUGGGCAAUGGAGGAAACUCUGACCCAGCGACGCCGCGUGCGGGAUGAAGGCCUUCGGGUUGUAAACCGCUUUCAGCAGGGAAGAAGCGAAAGUGACGGUACCUGCAGAAGAAGCACCGGCUAACUAUGUGCCAGCAGCCGCGGUAAUACAUAGGGUGCAAGCGUUGUCCGGAAUUAUUGGGCGUAAAGAGCUCGUAGGUGGUUCGUCACGUCGGAUGUGAAAAUCUGGGGCUUAACCCCAGACCUGCAUUCGAUACGGGCGAGCUUGAGUAUGGUAGGGGAGUCUGGAAUUCCUGGUGUAGCGGUGGAAUGCGCAGAUAUCUGGAGGAACACCAAUGGCGAAGGCAGGACUCUGGGCCAUUACUGACACUGAGGAGCGAAAGCGUGGGGAGCGAACAGGAUUAGAUACCCUGGUAGUCCACGCCGUAAACGGUGGGCACUAGUUGUGGGGACCUUCCACGGUCUCUGCGACGCGNGCACGCUAUAGUCCGCCCGCGUGGGAGGACGAGCGCGAGAAGUUAAACGUAACGAAAGUUAAGUUAGUACGCGUUGAGCGCGCGACGGACGACGACGGAGGGAGGAGG
RNAcentral lists this ribosomal RNA (610 nucleotides) under uncultured bacterium. RNAcentral's name for it is "bacterial SSU rRNA". The stretch from base 1 to 519 matches the Rfam family "Bacterial small subunit ribosomal RNA", at positions 338 to 873 of the family's 1533-position model. The record is from RNAcentral.